RNAcentral lists this ribosomal RNA (1100 nucleotides) under Streptococcus thermophilus. RNAcentral's name for it is "bacterial SSU rRNA". It matches the Rfam family "Bacterial small subunit ribosomal RNA", at positions 49 to 1140 of the family's 1533-position model. Lineage: Bacteria; Bacillati; Bacillota; Bacilli; Lactobacillales; Streptococcaceae. The record is from RNAcentral.
CUAUACAUGCAGUAGAACGCUGAAGAGAGGAGCUUGCUCUUCUUGGAUGAGUUGCGAACGGGUGAGUAACGCGUAGGUAACCUGCCUUGUAGCGGGGGAUAACUAUUGGAAACGAUAGCUAAUACCGCAUAACAAUGGAUGACACAUGUCAUUUAUUUGAAAGGGGCAAUUGCUCCACUACAAGAUGGACCUGCGUUGUAUUAGCUAGUAGGUGAGGUAAUGGCUCACCUAGGCGACGAUACAUAGCCGACCUGAGAGGGUGAUCGGCCACACUGGGACUGAGACACGGCCCAGACUCCUACGGGAGGCAGCAGUAGGGAAUCUUCGGCAAUGGGGGCAACCCUGACCGAGCAACGCCGCGUGAGUGAAGAAGGUUUUCGGAUCGUAAAGCUCUGUUGUAAGUCAAGAACGGGUGUGAGAGUGGAAAGUUCACACUGUGACGGUAGCUUACCAGAAAGGGACGGCUAACUACGUGCCAGCAGCCGCGGUAAUACGUAGGUCCCGAGCGUUGUCCGGAUUUAUUGGGCGUAAAGCGAGCGCAGGCGGUUUGAUAAGUCUGAAGUUAAAGGCUGUGGCUCAACCAUAGUUCGCUUUGGAAACUGUCAAACUUGAGUGCAGAAGGGGAGAGUGGAAUUCCAUGUGUAGCGGUGAAAUGCGUAGAUAUAUGGAGGAACACCGGUGGCGAAAGCGGCUCUCUGGUCUGUAACUGACGCUGAGGCUCGAAAGCGUGGGGAGCGAACAGGAUUAGAUACCCUGGUAGUCCACGCCGUAAACGAUGAGUGCUAGGUGUUGGAUCCUUUCCGGGAUUCAGUGCCGCAGCUAACGCAUUAAGCACUCCGCCUGGGGAGUACGACCGCAAGGUUGAAACUCAAAGGAAUUGACGGGGGCCCGCACAAGCGGUGGAGCAUGUGGUUUAAUUCGAAGCAACGCGAAGAACCUUACCAGGUCUUGACAUCCCGAUGCUAUUUUCUAGAGAUAGAAAGUUACUUCGGUACAUCGGUGACAGUGGUGCAUGGCUGGUCGUCAGCUCGUGUCGUGAGAAUGCUGAUAGUCCGCACGAGCAACCCUAAUGAUAGCUGGCAUCAUUCAGUUGGGGACUC